RNAcentral lists this non-coding RNA (45 nucleotides) under Schistosoma haematobium. The record is from RNAcentral. Lineage: Eukaryota; Metazoa; Platyhelminthes; Trematoda; Strigeidida; Schistosomatidae.
AUCCAGAUGACGAGUCCCAAAUAGGACGAAGAACGCAUCCUGGAU